Non-coding RNA from Pantherophis guttatus, 534 nucleotides. The record is from RefSeq and is a predicted model, not a curated record. NCBI's taxonomy places the organism in Eukaryota, Metazoa, Chordata, Lepidosauria, Squamata, Colubridae.
AGACCAGAAACAAUUCUAUUUCCCAAAGGGCAUCUAGUUCUCCUCCCGGCUUCCGAAUAAAGACUGAAAUUUAAACCCUGGGAUCUGUUUAGCCCUGCUGAAAUAUUCAGAGGCAGACUUACAGCUUCCACAACAAGGACGCCUUUUCAUUCAUAGCAGAAGUAAAGAAAAGAAGGCAGGUAAACAGCGCGGUCCAGGAAUGCUCGAAAUCAUUCAAGUCACGUCAGUUCAGGGCCGAGCUGGUUCUGGCUUGUCCAGGAUCGCUACCGAGCACUGAGCGACAUCCGUGCCGGUGUUCACGGGCUGGGAGAAGGAGAACAUUUUUCAAUUUGGGUCAUGCUGAGUUGUGGAUUCUCCAGGGGGGGAAGUUCUAUCUAGGAUUUGCCUGAAGACAAAAUGACGCUGUUGGGCUUCCCACACCCAAUUAUUUGCAGUAAUUCCCCCCAAGGGGGUUAUAUUUCACCCACAGUGCAGUGGGGGAUUAAAAGCAAGGCGCCUUGCCACCUUCCGCGCCUUGAACGGCCUCGAACGUAA